This 450-nucleotide ribosomal RNA is filed under the name uncultured bacterium. RNAcentral describes it as "partial 16S ribosomal RNA". It matches the Rfam family "Bacterial small subunit ribosomal RNA", at positions 354 to 796 of the family's 1533-position model. The record is from RNAcentral.
GUGGGGAAUAUUGGACAAUGGGCGAAAGCCUGAUCCAGCCAUGCCGCGUGUGUGAAGAAGGUCUUCGGAUUGUAAAGCACUUUAAGUUGGGAGGAAGGGCAGUAAGUUAAUACCUUGCUGUUUUGACGUUACCGACAGAAUAAGCACCGGCUAACUUCGUGCCAGCAGCCGCGGUAAUACGAAGGGUGCAAGCGUUAAUCGGAAUUACUGGGCGUAAAGCGCGCGCAGGUGGUUUUGUAAGUUGUAGGUGAAAUCCCCGGGCUCAACCUGGGAACUGCCUCCAAAACUGCAUGGCUAGAGUACGGUGGAGGGUAGUGGAAUUUCCUGUGUAGCGGUGAGAUGCGUAGAUAUAGGAAGGAACACCAGUGGCGAAGGCGACUACCUGGACUGAUACUGACACUGAGGUGCGAAAGCGUGGGGAGCAAACAGGAUUAGAUACCCGUGUAGUCC